CUGGCUCAGGAUGAACGCUGGCGGCGUGCUUAACACAUGCAAGUCGAACGGGGAAACAUGAAGAAGUUUCGGAUGGAAUUACGUUUCUAGUGGCGGACGGGUGAGUAACGCGUAAACAAUCUGCCUUAGAGAGGGGGAUAACAGAUAGAAAUAUUUGCUAAUACCGCAUAAGACCACAGGUAGGCAUCUACUAGGGGUAAAAGGAGCAAUCCGCUUUAAGAUGAGUUUGCGUACUAUUAGCUAGUUGGUGAGGUAACGGCCCACCAAGGCGACGAUGGUUAGCCGGCCUGAGAGGGUGAACGGCCACAUUGGAACUGAGAUACGGUCCAGACUCCUACGGGAGGCAGCAGUGAGGAAUAUUGGGCAAUGGGCGAAAGCCCUGACCCAGCAACGCCGCGUGAAGGAAGAAGGUUUUAGGAUUGUAAACUUCUGUUGUAAGGGAAAAAGAAAGUGAUGGUACCUUACGAGGAAGCUACGGCAAACUAUGUGCCAGCCGCUGC
This 500-nucleotide ribosomal RNA is filed under the name uncultured bacterium. RNAcentral's name for it is "bacterial SSU rRNA". It matches the Rfam family "Bacterial small subunit ribosomal RNA", at positions 19 to 518 of the family's 1533-position model. The record is from RNAcentral.